UAGUCCACGCCGUAAACGAUGAUCACUCGCUGUAGGCGAUACACAGUCUGUGGCUAAGCGAAAGUUUUAAGUGAUCCACCUGGGGAGUACGAUCGCAAGAUUGAAACUCAAAGGAAUUGACGGGGGCCCGCACAAGCGGAGGAACAUGUGGUUUAAUUCGAUGAUACGCGAGGAACCUUACCUGGACUUAAAUGUAGAUUGCAUAGCUUGGAGAUAGGCUUUUCUUCGGACUAUUUACAAGGUGCUGCAUGGUUGUCGUCAGCUCGUGCUGUGAGGUGUUGGGUUAAGUCCCGCAACGAGCGCAACCCCUAUUGUUAGUUGCCAGCACAUUAUGGUGGAGACUCUAACAAGACUGCCGGCGUAAGCCGAGAGGAAGGUGGGGAUGACGUCAAAUCAUCAUGGCCUUUAUGCCUAGGGCGACACACGUGCUACAAUGGCCAGUACAGAGGGCAGCGAACCCGCGAGGGGGAGCCAAUCCCAGAAAGCUGGUCCCAGUUCGG
RNAcentral lists this ribosomal RNA (500 nucleotides) under uncultured bacterium. RNAcentral describes it as "bacterial SSU rRNA". It matches the Rfam family "Bacterial small subunit ribosomal RNA", at positions 791 to 1296 of the family's 1533-position model. The record is from RNAcentral.